GGAGCUAACCAGCGCCGGCCCCGCCCAGCCCCGCGCGGGCGGGGGGCGGGAGCGAAGAGUCGGCGGGGGACGUGGGUCCGGGCGGUAGCGGGAGGGAAGCGGGGAAGCGCUCGCCAGCCAAUCGCGUGCGCCGUGCCCAACGUGGGUUGCUGACGCAACGCCUCCCCGAAGCCUAUAGCAGUGCGGCACUGGACGGGCCGUCCUCCCCCUUCUCUCCCACCCCACUCGCUUCCAUCUCCGCCGUCUCCCCGGUCUCCCCUCCCACCCCCUACCCCUCCUCCGCCAGCCGCGUCCUCCCGGGCUCGGUGAGGAACUGUUCCUGGAGGAGCCGCGGGACGCCGAAACCAGCCAAUGGGAAGAGGCGAGACGCGGAGAUUGGCACGGUGGAUGGGAAGAUCACAAGUAGGCAGAGAGGAGGCAGCAGGCUCCCCACUGAGCAGAGAACCCGAUGCGGGGCUCGAUCCCAGGACCCUGAAAUCAUGACCCGAGCCAAAGGCAAAGGCUUUAACCCACUGAGCCACCCAGGCCAAAGCGCAGCUUUUGCAAGGCUCCCUGCCCUGAAGGGGAAAGGCCCCCAGGCGGAGGGCAGUACCUGGGACCCUGUCUAAGGGUAUUAGAUGACCUGCAGGUUCUCAGACUGUGCUUCCCAGACCAGCAGCAUUAGCAUCACCUGGGAACUUUUUAGAAAUGAAAAUGCUGGGGCCUCACCCUGGACCUACUCAAAAAGAAACUUCGACGUGGGGACCCACAAUUUGGUUUUGACAAGGAGGUCAUCUCGAAUGUGAGAACCACUGCUGCUGUGCUCCUCGUGUGAAAUGGAUCCAGGCCCCAAAGGCAGGAACGGAGAAGGACUGGCAAAGCAAGGCAUUUUCAGCAGAAUGCUGAACAUAAAUAAAGAUGUGAGGUGUCCAGCUGAAGUAAAGCAAAGUUCACAUUGGGAAGUCACACGAAGUGAACAUGGAAUAAGGAAGAGCUAGAUUAAGGACUUCAAAUGGAAACCCAUGAUCCCUUCUGCAAGGAUCUUCACCUGGGGUGUUUUAAAAUUUCUUUUUCUCAUUUUCUUUGCCCUUCUCGUGCUCGUAGUAUCUGCACAGCUUGUUCUCCUGGCUCUAGCUAAUUCUUGGUCCUCUGACAGCAGAAAGCAGUGAUCAGACAGGUUGAAUGAUUCAAUGGAAAUGUAAUCUGAUCUCAUUUUAGCCACAUGUAAGAAGCAACCUGCUGUGAACCGGAAUUGUAAUGCUGGGAAUUAUCUGAUUCCUGCAGCCCUCUCUUCUUUCUCUGACCUGGUGAAUGAUGGCUAAGGAAAUUUAAAGCAUGUAAAACAUGGUAAAUGUUGAUUUGUUGACUUGGCCAUUGAACCGGACACCUUGCCUUCUUGCAGGUAAAACUAAAGAUCACAAUUUCUAGAUUUUAUUUGUAAGGGCCAAGCAUUGAAGUACUUCUCAAUUCAGAUAGGUCUUCUUUUCCUUUAAACUAUACUUCCAGCUUUGGGGCCAGGUACAAAAGCAAAGCAAAACAGCAACCAAAAAGCGAAGGGAUCUCCUUUGCCCACCUGAGCUGCAAAGAGAGGUGACCUGCAGAACAGAGUUGACAUGAUGUGAUGGUUCAGUUCCCGGAUAUGAAGGAAAGGAAUCCUCUGCCACUGGCUAAGGAAGAUCAGUUACAAAGCAGGAAAACUGAGAACUGGUAGAAGUAGAGAAACUUACAGGAAACUUACAGGAGAGAAAAACUGGACAUAAAAUUAAAAGAAACAGAAAACACACUUGUUACACUGCUGGCCCCCAGUAAUCACCUCUGCCUACAUUUGCCCUUGUGGAGUCCUUGCUAUUUGAACUGGAGUAGGGCCCGUGACAUUCUGACUGACUAGAGGUGGCUGUGUGAUGCCAUGCCCUUUCCUGUGUCUAUAUGGGAAGCCUUAAGAUGCUGUGCUUCUGGGUUCUGAGCCCUGAUCUACUUUAUAAGGACUCUGAUGGAGUUUUGUGGAGAGGCCAUAGGAGAAAAGCCCAGCCAUUCGGUGCCCAGCCAAGCCCAGGCCCCUGACCAUCAGCUGAAUGAAUCCAUAGAGUGACCAUUGGCAAGAUCAACAGAAGAUUACCUGGCUAAGCCCAGCCCAGACUACAGAAUUGUGAGGAAAUAAAAUGGCCAUUGUUUUAAACCAGGAGGUUUUGGGCUUGUUUGUUCUAUCACAAAACAUAACAAUUGGUAUGAUAGUGGAGGAGGAAGCAUCCAAGACCAAGCCCAGGGUCUCUUCUGUCUGGGACAGCCUGGUGUGGAGGGAAGAUGCAGGCCUAGGACCACAACAAGCUUGGGUCAUAGCCUCAUUUUUUAGCUUUUUGCUUUUUGAACUGGGGCAAGUUAUUCAGUCUUUCAGGGCCUCAGUUCUGUUUUCUGUAAAAUGAGAAAAAUAUUUCUUCCCUCACAGGAGCAUUGAGAAAUGAAAGGAGUGAAAGUUUGGGGCACAUAUUAAGUAUCCACCAGACAGGAGUUCUGUUCCAUUUCCUCCUUACGGUUCCUUCCCUCACUCCCCCACCCCCUACUAAGGGCUGACCUAAACUACAUUGACUCGUGUGUGUGUGUGUGUGUGUGUGUGUGUGUGUUACAUUAAUCACCAUAAAAUACAUCAUUAGUUUUGCUGCAGUGUUCCAAGAUUCACUAUUUAUGUACAGCACCCAGUUCUCCAUGAAAUCUGUGCCCUCCUUAAUACCCACCACCAGGCUCACCCAUCCCCCCCACCCAAAACCCUCAGUUUGUUUCUCGGAGUCCAUAAUCUUUCAUCCUUUGUCUCCCUAUCCGAUUUCCCCUAUUUUACUUUUCUUUCCUUUUCUUAAUGUCUUCCAUGUUAUUCUUUAUGCUCCACAAGUAAGUGAAACCAUAUGAUAAUUGACUUUCUCUCCUUGACUUAUCUCACUCAGCAUAAUCUCCUCCAGUCCUGUCCAUGUUGCUACAAAAGUUGGGUAUUCAUCCUUUCUGAUGGAGGCAUAAUACUCCAUUGUAUAUAUGGACCAUAUCUUCUUUAUCCACUUGUCUGUUGAAGGGCCUCUCAGCUCUUUCCAUAGUUUGGCUAUUGUGGACAUUGCUGCUAUGAAAAUUGGGGUACAUAUGGCCCUUCAAUUCACUACAUCUGUAUCUUUGAGGUAAAAGCGUAAUUGCCAGCUCAUAGAGUAGCCCUAUUUUUAAUUUUUUGAGGCAUCUCCACACUGUUUUCAAAGUGGUUACAAACAACUUGCAUUCCCACCAAUAGUGUAAGAGGGUUCCCCUUUCUCCACAUCUUCUCCAACAUUCGUUGUUUCCUGCCUUGGUAAUCUUGGAUAUUCUAACUGGUGUAAGGUGACAUCUCAGUGUGGUUUUGAUUUGAAUUUCCCUGAUGGCUAAUGAUCAACAUUUUUUCAUGUGUCUGAUAACCAUUUGUAUGUCUUCAUUGGAGAAGUGUCUGUUCAUGUCUUCUGCUCAUUUUUUGACAUGAUUAUCUGUUUUUUGGGGGUUGAAUUUGAGAAGUUCUUUUUAGAUCCUGGAUAUCAGCCCUUUGUCUGUAGUGUCAUUUGCGAGUAUCUUCUCGCAUUCUGUGGGUUGCCUCUUUUUUUGUUGACUGUUUCCUUUGCUGUGCAGAACCUUGUUAUCUUGAUGAAGUCCCAAAAGUUCAUAAUCACUCUUGUUUCCUUUGCCUUUGAGACGUGUCUUGAAAGAAGUUGCCAUAGCCAAUGUCGAAGAGGUUACUGCCUAUGUUCUCCUCUAGGAUUUUGAUGGAUUCCUGUCUGACAUUGAGGUCUUUCAUCCGUUUUGAGUAUAUCUUUUUGUAUGGUGAAAGAGAAUGGUUGAGUUUCAUUCUUCUAUACAUAGGUGUCCGAUUUUCCCAGCACCAUUUAUUGAAGAGACUGUCUUUUUGGAUAUUUUUUCCUACUUUGUCAAAGAUUUGACCAUAGAAUUGAGGGUCCAUAUCUGGGCACUCUACUCUGUUCCACUGGUCUGUGUGUCUGUUUAUUUGCCAGUACCAUGUUGUCUCGGUGAUUACAGCUUUGUAAUAAAACCUUGAAAUCAGGCAACGUGAUGCCCCUAGCCUUUUCUUUUUCAACAUUUCCUUAGCGAUUUGGGUUUUUUUCUGGUUCCAUACAAAUUUUAGGAUGGUUUGUACCAGCCCUUUGAAAAAUUCUGGUGGAAUUCUGAUCAGGAUGGCAUUGAAAGUAUAGAUUGCUCUGGGCAGCAUAGACAUUUUAACAAUGUUUAUUCUUCUGAUCCAUGAGCAUAGAAUGCUUUCUCAUCUUUUGUGUCUUCAGUUUCUUUCAUGAGUGUUCUGUAGUUUCUUGAGUAUAGAUCCUUUACCUCUUUGGUUAGGUUUAUUCCAAGGUAUCUUAUGGUUUUUGGUGCCAUUGUAAAUGGAAUCGAUUCUCUAAUUGCCCUUCCCACAUUUUCAUUGUUAGUGUAUAAGAAAGCAGCUUAUUUCUGUGAAUUGAUUUUGUAUCCUGCCACAUUACUGAAUUGCUAAAUGAGUUCUAAUAAUUUGGGGAUGAAGUCUUUUGGGUUUUCCACAUAAAGUAUCAUGUCCUCUGCAAAGAGAGAGAGUUUGACUUCUUUGCCAAUUUCAAUACUUUUUACUUCUUUUCUUUGUCUGAUUGCUGUUGCUAGGAAUUCUAGUUCUGUGUUGAACAACAGUGGCGAGAGUGGGCAUCCUUGUUGUAUUCUUGAUCUCAGUGGGAGGGCUCUCAGCUUUUCCCCAUUAAGAAUGAUAUUUGCUGUGAGUUUCUCAUAGAUGGAUUUUAUGAAGUUGAGCAAUGGUCCCUCUAUCCCUAUAUUUUGAAGAGUUUUAGUCAGGAAAUGAUGCUGUCUUUUGUCAAAUGCUUUUUCUGCAUCAAUUGAGAGGACAAUGUGAUUCCUCUC
Molecule: long non-coding RNA, 4872 nt
Organism: Mustela lutreola (European mink)
Lineage: Eukaryota; Metazoa; Chordata; Mammalia; Carnivora; Mustelidae
Exons: 6
Source: RefSeq, a predicted model, not a curated record